RNAcentral lists this ribosomal RNA (492 nucleotides) under uncultured bacterium. RNAcentral describes it as "partial 16S ribosomal RNA". It matches the Rfam family "Bacterial small subunit ribosomal RNA", at positions 29 to 507 of the family's 1533-position model. The record is from RNAcentral.
AGUGAACGCUGGCGGUAGGCCUAACACAUGCAAGUCGAACGGCAGCACAGUAAGAGCUUGCUCUUACGGGUGGCGAGUGGCGGACGGGUGAGGAAUACAUCGGAAUCUACUUUUUCGUGGGGGAUAACGUAGGGAAACUUACGCUAAUACCGCAUACGACCUACGGGUGAAAGCAGGGGAUCUUCGGACCUUGCGCGAUUCAAUGAGCCGAUGUCGGAUUAGCUAGUUGGCGGGGUAAAGGCCCACCAAGGCGACGAUCCGUAGCCGGUCUGAGAGGAUGAUCAGCCACACUGGAACUGAGACACGGUGCAGACUCCUACGGGAGGCAGCAGUGGGGAAUAUUGGACAAUGGGCGGAAGCGUGAUCCAGCCAUACCGCGUGAGUGAAGAAGGCCUUCGGGUUGUAUAGCCAUUUUGUUGGGAAAGAAAAGCAGCAGGUUAAUACCCCGCUGUUCUGACGGUACCCAAAGAAUAAGCACCGGCUAACUUCGUG